AGAGUUUGAUUAUGGCGUCAGGAUGAACGCUAGCUACAGGCUUAACACAUGCAAGUCGAGGGGCAGCAGGACGAUAGCUGCUAUGUGCUGGCGACCGGCGCACGGGUGAGUAACGCGUAUCCAACCUUCCCUUAGUAGGGCAUAGCCCGGUGAAAAUCGGAUUAAUACCCUAUGUUGUGUCAUGAGGACAUCUGAAUAACACUAAAGAUUUAUCGCUAAGGGAUGGGGAUGCGUCCGAUUAGGUAGUCGGCGGGGUAACGGCCCACCGAGCCCUCGAUCGGUAGGGGUUCUGAGAGGAAGGUCCCCCACACUGGUACUGAGACACGGACCAGACUCCUACGGGAGGCAGCAGUGAGGAAUAUUGGUCAAUGGGCGUAAGCCUGAACCAGCCAAAGUAGCGUGCAGGAUGACGGCCCUAUGGGUUGUAAACUGCUUUUAUACGGGGAUAAAGUGAGGGACGUGUCCCUUAUUGUAGGUACCGUAUGAAUAAGGACCGGCUAAUUCCGUGCCAGCCGCCGC
Molecule: ribosomal RNA, 519 nt
Filed under: uncultured bacterium
Lineage: Bacteria
Description: bacterial SSU rRNA
Rfam family: Bacterial small subunit ribosomal RNA
Source: RNAcentral